GACGAACGCUGGCGGCGUGCUUAACACAUGCGAGUCGAACGGAAAGGCCCUGCUUUUGUGGGGUGCUCGAGUGGCGAACGGGUGAGUAACACGUGAGUAACCUGCCCUUGACUUUGGGAUAACUUCAGGAAACUGGGGCUAAUACCGGAUAGGAGCUCCUGCUGCAUGGUGGGGGUUGGAAAGUUUCGGCGGUUGGGGAUGGACUCGCGGCUUAUCAGCCUGUUGGUGGGGUAGUGGCUUACCAAGGCUUUGACGGGUAGCCGGCCUGAGAGGGUGACCGGCCACAUUGGGACUGAGAUACGGCCCAGACUCCUACGGGAGGCAGCAGUGGGGAAUAUUGCACAAUGGGCGGAAGCCUGAUGCAGCAACGCCGCGUGCGGGAUGACGGCCUUCGGGUUGUAAACCGCUUUCGCCUGUGACGAAGCGUGAGUGACGGUAAUGGGUAAAGAAGCACCGGCUAACUACGU
Molecule: ribosomal RNA, 467 nt
Filed under: uncultured bacterium
Lineage: Bacteria
Description: partial 16S ribosomal RNA
Rfam family: Bacterial small subunit ribosomal RNA
Source: RNAcentral